Molecule: long non-coding RNA, 1533 nt
Filed under: Mus musculus (house mouse)
Lineage: Eukaryota; Metazoa; Chordata; Mammalia; Rodentia; Muridae
Description: long non-coding RNA chr2:150790016-150791549
Source: RNAcentral
UCGAACUCAGAAAUCCACCUGCCUCUGCCUCCCGAGUGCUGGGAUUAAAGGCUUGCGCCACCACGCCUGGCAAGCUCUUGGUUUUUAAAGCCUUCCAUGUGUUCAGUCUUAGGAGUGCACAGCCCCUCAGACUUUCUCAGACCCUCCCGUGGCUGUUGAUUUGUCUUUUACUCCAUGGCGUUGUGCUUUUGUUCUUUCUUUUUUUAAAAAUUUAUUUAUUAUUUUACAUUAGUACACUGUAGCUGUCUUCAGAUGCACUAGAAGAGGGUGUCAGAUAUCAUUAUGGGUGGUUGUGAGCCACCAUGUGGUUGCUGGGAUUUGAACUCAGGACCUUUGGAAGAGCAGUCAGUGCUCUUAUCCACUGAGCCAUCUCGCCAGCCCCGCUUUUGUUCUUUCUUAAUUGUGUUGUUUGUUAUGUGUACUGGUGUUUUGCCUCCACUUACUUCUGUACAGCAGUUUCAAGCCUGGUAUCCACGGAGGCCACGAAAGGGUGAUGGACUCUCCUGGGGCCUGAGCUACAGACAGUUGUGACCUGCCACGUGGGUGCUUGGGAUUGAACCCAGGUCCUCUGGAAGAGCAACCGCUGCUUUAACUACUGAUUCAUGGCUCCAGCCCUAGCAUCGUGGUUGUUAGAAACAGUAAUUACACUCAUAGUAUAGAUUCUCAUAAUUUCUUACGAGAUCUACAAGUUCGUCCUGAAACAGCAGAGUCUUGGAGAGCACUCAGUUUAGGAACCAGAAGUCCUGUGCAGCAAAGGACCUAAGUCUAACCCCCCCAACCCCCCCUUUUUUGUUUUGUUUUGUUUGUUUGGUUUUUUGUUUGUUUUGUUUUGUUUUUUUGAGAGGUCUAACCCCUUUUACAAGGGGUUUUUGCUUUACUUAGUGGUACUGGAGAUCAGACCUAAGGCCUGAAGCAUUCUGAGUAUACCUAUCACUGAGCAGUGUGAACACUUUUAGCCCUAAACUCCUUUCCAUCCUGAUUUUUCCCAUUUUCCAACUUUGUGAUAUGCUACUGUGUGUUUAGAUUGACACCCACUCACCCCACCCCCUUUUAGUUGGGAUCUCUUCAUGUAGCCCCGGAUGGUCUUGAGUGCUACCCACACCAGCUAGCUGGGUAUAGUUUUUAGCCUUCCUUAGCCUCAUGUUUUUUCAUCUUUAAAACAAAGAGAGUUGAGCUAUGGAGUCUAUUUUUGAAGCUUCUGUCAUUCUAACAUGGUCAGGUUUUAUGUUUGCUUGUAAAAUGUCCCCAUUUAAUGUUGACAUUCCCUUUAUGCAGAAAUGCUGGGAGCCAGAAGAGUCCAAGGCCAUCUUUGGUUACAUAGCAAUUUUGAGAUCAGCAUGAACCAUACAAGAGACCCUGUCUCAAAAUCCAAUAUCUCACUAGGUGUGGUGGCACAUGUUUUUGAGGCAUAGGCAGGCUUGUUUCUGAGUUCAAGGCCUGGUCUUCAUAGUGAGUUCUAGGCUAUCCAGGGCUAUACAGUAAAACCCUGUCUUGGAGGAAGAGGGAGACAGGGAAGAGAAAAAAGUGGAGGAG